GAUGAACGCUGGCGGCGUGCCUAAUACAUGCAAGUCGAGCGAACAGACGAGGAGCUUGCUCCUCUGACGUUAGCGGCGGACGGGUGAGUAACACGUGGAUAACCUACCUAUAAGACUGGGAUAACUUCGGGAAACCGGAGCUAAUACCGGAUAAUAUAUUGAACCGCAUGGUUCAAUAGUGAAAGACGGUUUUGCUGUCACUUAUAGAUGGAUCCGCGCCGCAUUAGCUAGUUGGUAAGGUAACGGCUUACCAAGGCGACGAUGCGUAGCCGACCUGAGAGGGUGAUCGGCCACACUGGAACUGAGACACGGUCCAGACGCCUACGGGAGGCAGCAGUAGGGAAUCGUCCGCAACGGGCGAAAGCCUGACGGAGCAACGCCGCGUGAGUGAUGAAGGUCUUCGGAUCGUAAAACUCUGUUAUUAGGGAAGAACAAAUGUGUAAGUAACUAUGCACGUCUUGACGGUACCUAAUCAGAAAGCCACGGCUAACUACGUG
Molecule: ribosomal RNA, 497 nt
Filed under: uncultured bacterium
Lineage: Bacteria
Description: partial 16S ribosomal RNA
Rfam family: Bacterial small subunit ribosomal RNA
Source: RNAcentral